UACGGAGGGGGCUAGCGUUGUUCGGAAUUACUGGGCGUAAAGCGCACGUAGGCGGACUGUUAAGUCUAGGGUGAAAGCUCCCGGCUCAACUGGGAGAGGUCCUUGGAUACUGGCGGACUUGAGGGAGGCAGAGGAGUAUGGAAUUCCCGGUGUAGUGGUGAUAUGCGUAGAUAUCGGGAGGAACACCAGUGGCGAAGGCGGUACUCUGGGCCUUACCUGACGCUGAGACGCGAAAGCGUGGGGAGCGAACAGG
Molecule: ribosomal RNA, 253 nt
Filed under: uncultured bacterium
Lineage: Bacteria
Description: partial 16S ribosomal RNA
Rfam family: Bacterial small subunit ribosomal RNA
Source: RNAcentral